AGAGUUUGAUCAUGGCUCAGGACGAACGCUGGCGGCGUGCCUAACACAUGCAAGUCGAACGGACGAGGCCCCUUCGGGGACCGAGUUAGUGGCGGACGGGUGAGUAACGCGUGAGCAACCUGCCUUUCAGAGGGGGACAACAGUUGGAAACGACUGCUAAUACCGCAUGAUGCAGCGAGAUCGCAUGGUCUUGCUGUAAAAGAUUUAUCGCUGAAAGAUGGGCUCGCGUCUGAUUAGCUAGUUGGAGGGGUAACGGCCCACCAAGGCGACGAUCAGUAGCCGGACUGAGAGGUUGAACGGCCACAUUGGGACUGAGAUACGGCCCAGACUCCUACGGGAGGCAGCAGUGGGGAAUAUUGGGCAAUGGGGGAAACCCUGACCCAGCAACGCCGCGUGAAGGAAGAAGGCUUUCGGGUUGUAAACUUCUUUUACCAGGGACGAAGAACGUGACGGUACCUGGAGAAAAAGCCACGGCUAACUACGUGCCAGCAGCCGCGGUAAUACGUAGGUGGCAAGCGUUGUCCGGAUUUACUGGGUGUAAAGGGCGUGUAGGCGGAGCUGCAAGUCAGAUGUGAAAUCUGGGGGCUUAACCCUCAAACUGCAUUUGAAACCGUAGCCCUUGAGUAUCGGAGAGGCAGGCGGAAUUCCUAGUGUAGCGGUGAAAUGCGUAGAUAUUAGGAAGAACACCAGUGGCGAAGGCGGCCUGCUGGACGACAACUGACGCUGAGGCGCGAAAGCGUGGGGAGCAAACAGGAUUAGAUACCCUGGUAGUCCACGCUGUAAACGAUGAAUACUAGGUGUGGAGGGACUGACCCCCUCCGUGCCGGAGUUAACACAAUAAGUAUUCCACCUGGGGAGUACGACCGCAAGGUUGAAACUCAAAGGAAUUGACGGGGGCCCGCACAAGCAGUGGAUUAUGUGGUUUAAUUCGACGCAACGCGAAGAACCUUACCGGGAUUUGACAUCCUACUAACGAAGCAGAGAUGCAUUAGGUGCCCUUCGGGGAAAGUAGAGACAGGUGGUGCAUGGUUGUCGUCAGCUCGUGUCGUGAGAUGUUGGGUUAAGUCCCGCAACGAGCGCAACCCCUAUUGUUAGUUGCUACGCAAGAGCACUCUAGCGAGUCUGCCGUUGACAAAACGGAGGAAGGCGGGGACGACGUCAAAUCAUCAUGCCCCUUAUGUCCCGGGCUACACACGUAAUACAAUGGCGGUCAACAAAGGGAAGCAAAGCCGCGAGGCAGAGCAAACCCCCAAAAGCCGUCUCAGUUCGGAUUGCAGGCUGCAACUCGCCUGCAUGAAGCUGGAAUUGCUAGUAAUCGUGGAUCAGAAUGCCACGGUGAAUACGUUCCCGGGCCUUGUACACACCGCCCGUCACACCAUGAGAGUCGGGAACACCCGAAGUCCGUAGUCUAACCCGCAAGGGAGGGCGCGGCCGAAGGUGGGUCUGAUAAUUGGGGUGAAGUCGUAACAAGGUA
RNAcentral lists this ribosomal RNA (1474 nucleotides) under metagenome. RNAcentral describes it as "bacterial SSU rRNA". It matches the Rfam family "Bacterial small subunit ribosomal RNA". The record is from RNAcentral.